CCUACGGGAGGCAGCAGUAGGGAAUCUUCCACAAUGGGCGAAAGCCUGAUGGAGCGACGCCGCGUGGGUGAAGAAGGUCUUCGGAUCGUAAAACCCUGUUGUUAGAGAAGAAAGUGCGUAAGAGUAACUGUUCACGUUUCGACGGUAUCUAACCAGAAAGCGACGGCUAACUACGUGCCAGCAGCCGCGGUAAUACGUAGGUGGCAAGCGUUAUCCGGAUUUAUUGGGCGUAAAGGGAACGCAGGCGGUCUUUUAAGUCUGAUGUGAAAGCCUUCGGCUUAACCGGAGUAGUGCAUUGGAAACUGGGAGACUUGAGUGCAGAAGAGGAGAGUGGAACUCCAUGUGUAGCGGUGAAAUGCGUAGAUAUAUGGAAGAACACCAGUGGCGAAGGCGGCUUUCUGGUCUGUAACUGACGCUGAGGUUCGAAAGCGUGGGGAGCAAACAGGAUUAGAUACCCUUGUAGUC
RNAcentral lists this ribosomal RNA (465 nucleotides) under uncultured bacterium. RNAcentral's name for it is "partial 16S ribosomal RNA". It matches the Rfam family "Bacterial small subunit ribosomal RNA", at positions 338 to 795 of the family's 1533-position model. The record is from RNAcentral.